This 312-nucleotide unclassified non-coding RNA is filed under the name Melitaea cinxia (Glanville fritillary). RNAcentral's name for it is "misc RNA ENSMCXG00005002221.1". The record is from RNAcentral. Lineage: Eukaryota; Metazoa; Arthropoda; Insecta; Lepidoptera; Nymphalidae.
GACAUCACCGUCUACAUCGUCAACUCCUCAAAAUGCUCAGUCAAAAGAAACAUCUAAAAAAUAUAGUUCGAUUCCCUCUAUUGCACUUACACCAAGGAAAAGGAAAAUGCAGGAACAGUUAGACGGUCAGAAAAAAAAAAUUAAAAGGCUCCAAGCUAAAAAUCUUUUUUUAAAGAAAAAAGUUGCUGGGUUAGAAGAAAUUCUUCAGAGUCUGGAUGAAAAAUCUUUGAUAGAUAAAGAAGAAAGGAUGGUCCUUGAAAAAAUUGGUGUUGAAGAAACAGAACUUAUUAGGCGUCAACUAAAGAAAUGUAA